This 86-nucleotide non-coding RNA is filed under the name unclassified sequences. The record is from RNAcentral.
GGUUGUCUGCCACCGGGUAGGCAACAGAAGCGUCAGACUUUCUAUCGUUAGGUCUCAGAAGAUGGAAAGCCUGACCUUUUUUAUGU